UACAGAGGGGGCAAGCGUUGUUCGGAAUUACUGGGCGUAAAGGGCUCGUAGGCGGCCAACUAAGUCGGACGUGAAAUCCCCAGGCUCAACCUGGGAACUGCGUCCGAUACUGGAUGGCUUGAAUUCGGGAGAGGGAUGCAGAAUUCCAGGUGUAGCGGUGAAAUGCGUAGAUAUCUGGAGGAAUACCGGUGGCGAAGGCGGCAUCCUGGACCGACAUUGACGCUGAUGAGCGAAAGCUAGGGGAGCAAACGGG
RNAcentral lists this ribosomal RNA (253 nucleotides) under uncultured bacterium. Its description in RNAcentral is "partial 16S ribosomal RNA". It matches the Rfam family "Bacterial small subunit ribosomal RNA", at positions 524 to 776 of the family's 1533-position model. The record is from RNAcentral.